Molecule: long non-coding RNA, 704 nt
Filed under: Callithrix jacchus (white-tufted-ear marmoset)
Lineage: Eukaryota; Metazoa; Chordata; Mammalia; Primates; Cebidae
Description: lncRNA (ENSCJAG00000076674.1)
Source: RNAcentral
AAGAUGCAAAUGUUGGAUAUAUUUGUACAGCAGCUAAAAGUACUCUAAUACUACAUAUUAUGAAAUCACCACGUACCCCAAAAUAUUAACAAAAUUCUUGCAAUAUUUGUAGGAGAACUGCUGGAUUUUGCUUUCUUAACUCUUUUGCUGUUGCUACUGAAAAAAGAGAGUAACUUGGACAAUGAAAUAAUCUCAAAUGAGGUGGCUUUAUUUUUGCAUAUGUUGGAGGUCCUCUGUGAAUCACUGUGUGCAGAGAAUGCUUCUUUGUAAGAAGAUGGAAUAGUUUUUGUGACUGGUUACUGUCCCACUGUCCUUCCACCAGUGGCUUGGUCCCCUGUGAUCUGGGAGCUCAUCCUUGCAGGCAGCUCCAAGUGACAGAGUGGCCUCAGUGUGUGACAACUGAUAUCCAGAUGCUGGCAGUGCUUGGAAGAAGUUGCUGUACAUUCCUUCAAGGAUUAGACAGCACUUGCACAGAUACGUGGGUUAAGGUGGCGCAUGAAGACACCAUUAGAAGGACACUUGGAAAAGGCGACCCAUUUUGCCAAUCUUCAUCAACCUUAUUGUAUUUCAGGGCUUUCAUGAAAAAGUGCAUCUUGGCAGCGGGUCUACUGGAGAUAGUGGAUCUGCAAAGAAGAUCCAGUUCUGAUGAAAUUUACUCAAAUUUAUCUGAAGCCGAAUUGAAGAUUCUGCAUCCUGGCCAGUGA